CUCUGGGUCACCUCCCACCCGUGUUUAUUUACCUUGUUGCUUCGGCGGGCCCGCCUUAACUGGCCGCCGGGGGGCUUACGCCCCCGGGCCCGCGCCCGCCGAAGACACCCUCGAACUCUGUCUGAAGAUUGUAGUCUGAGUGAAAAUAUAAAUUAUUUAAAACUUUCAACAACGGAUCUCUUGGUUCCGGCAUCGAUGAAGAACGCAGCAAAAUGCUAUACGUAAUGUGAAUUGCAAAUUCAGUGAAUCAUCGAGUCUUUGAACGCACAUUGCGCCCCCUGGUAUUCCGGGGGGCAUGCCUGUCCGAGCGUCAUUGCUGCCCUCAAGCACGGCUUGUGUGUUGGGCCCCGUCCUCCGAUUCCGGGGGACGGGCCCGAAAGGGAGCGGCGGCACCGCGUCCGGUCCUCGAGCGUAUGGUGCUUUGUCACCCGCUCUGUAGGGCCGGGCGGCGCUUGCCGAUCAACCCAAAUUCUUAUCCAGGUGGACCUCGGAUCAGGUA
RNAcentral lists this ribosomal RNA (499 nucleotides) under Penicillium sp. T21-14. RNAcentral describes it as "eukaryotic LSU rRNA". The stretch from base 161 to 313 matches the Rfam family "5.8S ribosomal RNA". The record is from RNAcentral. Lineage: Eukaryota; Fungi; Ascomycota; Eurotiomycetes; Eurotiales; Aspergillaceae.